UAAUACGGAGGGUGCAAGCGUUAUCCGGAUUCACUGGGUUUAAAGGGAGCGUAGGUGGGGUGGUAAGUCAGUGGUGAAAUCUCCGGGCUUAACUCGGAAACUGCCGUUGAUACUAUCAUUCUUGAAUAUUGUGGAGGUAAGCGGAAUAUGUCAUGUAGCGGUGAAAUGCUUAGAUAUGACAUAGAACACCGAUAGCGAAGGCAGCUUGCUACACAAUUAUUGACACUGAGGCUCGAAAGCGUGGGGAUCAAACAGGAUUAGAUACCCUGGUAGUCCACGCCCUAAACGAUGGAUACUCGACAUACGCGAUACACAGUGUGUGUCUGAGCGAAAGCAUUAAGUAUCCCACCUGGGAAGUACGACCGCAAGGUU
Molecule: ribosomal RNA, 372 nt
Filed under: uncultured bacterium
Lineage: Bacteria
Description: bacterial SSU rRNA
Rfam family: Bacterial small subunit ribosomal RNA
Source: RNAcentral